UGGGGAAUCUUCCGCAAUGGACGAAAGUCUGACGGAGCAACGCCGCGUGAGUGAAGACGGCCUUCGGGUUGUAAAGCUCUGUUAUUCGGGAAGAACGAUUCGUUUGUGAACAAUGAACGGAAGUGACGGUACCGAAAGAGAAAGCCACGGCUAACUACGUGCCAGCAGCCGCGGUAAUACGUAGGUGGCAAGCGUUGUCCGGAAUUAUUGGGCGUAAAGAGCGCGUAGGCGGUAUGGUAAGUCUGUCUUAGAAGUGCGGGGCUUAACCCCGUGAGGGGACAGAGACUGUCAUACUGGAGUCUCGGAGAGGAAAGCGGAAUUCCUAGUGUAGCGGUGAAAUGUGUAGAGAUUAGGAAGAACACCGGUGGCGAAGGCGGCUUUCUGGACGAGCACUGACGCUGAGGCGCGAAAGCGUGGGGAGCGAACAGG
RNAcentral lists this ribosomal RNA (429 nucleotides) under Fusobacteriota bacterium. RNAcentral describes it as "Fusobacteria bacterium partial 16S ribosomal RNA". It matches the Rfam family "Bacterial small subunit ribosomal RNA", at positions 355 to 776 of the family's 1533-position model. Lineage: Bacteria; Fusobacteriati; Fusobacteriota. The record is from RNAcentral.